RNAcentral lists this ribosomal RNA (253 nucleotides) under uncultured bacterium. RNAcentral's name for it is "partial 16S ribosomal RNA". It matches the Rfam family "Bacterial small subunit ribosomal RNA", at positions 524 to 776 of the family's 1533-position model. The record is from RNAcentral.
UACGUAGGGUGCGAGCGUUAAUCGGAAUUACUGGGCGUAAAGCGUGCGCAGGCGGUUAUAUAAGACAGAUGUGAAAUCCCCGGGCUUAACCUGGGACCUGCAUUUGUGACUGUAUAGCUAGAGUACGGCAGAGGGGGAUGGAAUUCCGCGUGUAGCAGUGAAAUGCGUAGAUAUGCGGAGGAACACCGAUGGCGAAGGCAAUCCCCUGGGCCUGUACUGACGCUCAUGCACGAAAGCGUGGGGAGCAAACAGG